Molecule: long non-coding RNA, 675 nt
Organism: Vidua chalybeata
Lineage: Eukaryota; Metazoa; Chordata; Aves; Passeriformes; Viduidae
Exons: 3
Source: RefSeq, a predicted model, not a curated record
CGGGAUCCCCGGUUCGAGUCCCGGUCCCGCCUUCCCGCGGGCACUGUGGCCUGGUGUCCUACUUUUAGAAUGUCGCCUGAGAACAGUGCCCGUGGGUCACAGAAGACACUGGAGCUGCCUGAAGAGGAUUUGAGAGCUCUUAUUCUUCCCCAUUAGCAGAAAGUAAUUCCCUAGGCUUAGAAAAGUACAUCUUAACAGAGGGCUUGAUAACCACAUUGGAAAGUGUCAAGUAGGCAUAAAACACUGCCAGAUGUCAGAAGUGAGGUCCUUCAAUAACAUUUGAGCCACGAAGAGUGGCUAUAGGUCACUGGCAGCAAUCAGGAAGCAUGCAAUAGCCCAAAGCAGAAAUCAGUGUUGCAAUAUCCCAGAACAUCCUUAUCGAAAACUUUAGCAAACUUGCAAAACCUACUCAGUGUUUACAUUUGAAUUGCAGAUGUUUUAAAAUGCUGCUGCAACUACACAAUCCACAUUGAUUAAUACUAGAUCUCGGGGGGGUUUUCCACUGUUGUGUACUAUGAAAAUAACGUGGCUAACUCUGAGUUUUCAUAUUUUUCACUUUAUUGAACUUAGAAAAUUUUGUGUUGUUGUUAUUCCCAAUGUUUUCCUUCCUUGUCAUUAUUGUGAGGAACUAAUUAAAUAUUUUUGCUGUUUUAUCCAGUAUGGAAGGUUAACAAA